GGAGGCUACUGUGGAGGGGGUGGCGUGUUGUGAUGUGAAGUGAAUGACAAGACUGCUAAAGGGGAACUAAAGCCUUUCCACAGAAAGACGCUGGCUGCAAAAACAAAAACAAAAAAAGCAUAAUUAGGAUAACCUACAUGUAAACCAUUGACAAAGAAAUAACAUUAUGGAAAGAGACAAAUAAAGAAUGUGCUUGCACAAAGGCGCUCCGGGUCUGCAUUAAAUGACCAAUUUAUAAUUGCACUUUGUGCAGCCUUCACAGCGAAGUUUAAAUUGGAAUGUGAGUGCACAUGCACAUGAAGAUAAAAGUUUUAUUGCUAGACUAAUAAAUCGGCGACAGUGAAUAAAAAAAAAAAACAUUGGAGGCGUUAACAUCCUACAUGGGCGGAUUGUGCAAUAGUUCUUCAACCUAAAUCGAAAACCGUGGACGCAACCUGCGUCUUAAGUUUCGUUGCUGUUUCAAUUGUGUGAUAAUAGUUCAGUAAGUACUUCUGCAUACCUUUUCUACUUGUUUGCAUGCCACUUUGUCGUUCUGAUAUGUUUUGCAAAGAGGUAUUUUAUUCGAUGAAAAACUUAAUCCAUCUCGCUGGUGAGAAAUCGAAAGUAACUAGACGAUAAUAGUUACAUAAAGUCCGCUUAGGCGUUAACUUUUUCAAGGAAAGAGCUGACAUUAGCCCAACCUUCUCAACCGAAUCUUUCUCAGAGGACGUUUAUCGCAACAGCUGACUUUAGUGGGCUUUACAUCACAGUGUCAGAGCUCUGCCAGACGCGUCGGUAAGCAUGGAAUACUGUCGAAUCGCUCCAUUCGUCAACAGAACACACGGUGGCCUUAGUGCAACGGCCUGCAAUUGACGCGAAAUGAAUAUCCGAUCUAGCUUUUCUUUUAACCUAUGUGCAGUUAAUCUUUUGGAUAAAAAUAACCACAUCCUACAAGUCUGUUAAUGAUUUUUAAUUUCAACUUAAAGAGUCUACAGUGAAUAGAUGGAUGUGUUUUGUAGGCCUAAUUCAGGUGUUGGGUAAUACUGGUGUAUUUUUCUUUUAUUCUUACAGAUGAGUACUGAAAGCAACUGAACAAGAUACAAGACUUCAGCAAUGGAAAGGUAAUAUUACAUAGUAUGUUAUUGUCGGGUGACAGAGACGUAUGGAAGGCGGAGUUUAUUCAGAAUCAGACAAAGCCAGGGGGAAAAACAGGGAUAAAACACCAAAGCAACACAGGACGCAAAGCUCAGAAGUUGAAAAGUGUCAAAACGUGAACGCGCAGAAGUUAAACGGGAAAACUAUGAACAAACGUAAAGUGGAAUCGCAACACAGGAGCUAUCGGCGCAGGAGCGCUUGAGGAAACAAAACGACAGAGUGUCGAGGCGGAGUUCAGUUCAGUUCAGUUCAGUUCAGUUCAGUUCAGUUCAGUUCAGUUGUAUCGUAAGGUAGGAAAUCCUUAAAUGAUUCGCUGGAGUAGUCGUCGGGGACCGGUAUCUAGCACGGGGUGUAGUUUCGACGAGGAGUGAGGAGUUUAUAUGGAGAUCGUGACAGGUGCAGGCAAUCAGGGGAUUUGGAAGAGGAUUGGGCUCUCCUCUGACCCAGGAUCAGUCCAGGUGUGGAGUGUGUGAGCAGGUACUGAGGGACCCAGUCAUCACCACCUGUGGAC
Long non-coding RNA from Clupea harengus (Atlantic herring), 1645 nucleotides. The record is from Ensembl. NCBI's taxonomy places the organism in Eukaryota, Metazoa, Chordata, Actinopteri, Clupeiformes, Clupeidae.